AAAAAGAACAAGAAACUGGCGUCCAAGGAUGGGAAAGAGGCUAAGGUCACACAAAUGACAAAGCUGGGAGUCAAACCCUGGUUCCAAAUCCAGUGCUUUGACAUAUGAGUGAUGUUUGAAGAAACUGAAGAUAUUUAACCAGGAGAAAAGAAGACUUGGGGAGAUUGGGUCAAAGCACUGAGCCCCAUGCUUCUCUGUGAACUGGACCAAAAGUGAAAAUUGGACUCAAAGUGCUUUGGGUUUGGUUUUACAAAAUGUGUAUCUUUUUUUUUUUUGUGAAAAAUUAUAUUUUGUACUUUUCUCAGAGAUAUUUUCAAAUCUUUGGGAGAAUUCUUUAUAUAUACAUGUGUGUGUGUGUGUGUGUGUGUGUGUGUGUGUGUGUAUACACAUAUCCCCAUAGAGCAAAAAGCAUAGACAUAGCUCUAUUGUAAGAAAAAUACUCUUCCUACAGAUAAUAUACCAGGGGUGAAAGGGGGAAGAGGCAUGGAAUGUCACCUUAAGAUUUGGGGUACUUGAGGUUACAGAGAACCUUCUCCCCUAAGAGACUCUUACUCUCUACAGGGUCCCCUCACCCUUACAAAGAUAAUCCUACUAUGUUUAUUUAAUAAAGAUGAAUUUAACAAUAUGGGAAGGUAUUAGGGUAGAGGGAAUAGGGAUUUUCCUAUACUUUGCCACAGAUUGGGUUUAAGUCUCUCUCAUCUUUUGAGCUGAGGCCAGGCCUUACAGGCUGGUAGAGGGUUUCUUUUAUUCCUGUCUAUGCUAUGUCUGUGCUAGUUUUCUUAAGUUCAAAAUCUUAGGAGUAGACAGCAAGAGGAAGAAAAGAUUCUGACCUUCAAAUCUGGUUGGGCCUGUUUCCUCGGGCUAGUACCCUAAAGACCAGCCUUACAGUUCAAACCACUCCCCUUAAAUCCUUUUGUUUGAUGACACCAUUAUAGGAAUCCAGGUGGAACAAACAGUUGGGAAAAAUCUAGGAAUAGAGGUACUUCUAUCCAGAAACAGGGAGAGAACACUCCUUCCAGUUUGAGGGCCAGGAAAAAAAAUGACCCUUGGAAGCAACUAUCACUCUCCAAGUCCCCCUAUCCCCUCUAACUGCCUUUGCUGUCAAUAUCUUCACUACAACAUUUCAACUGCUGUCUCCCCCACCUCAGUAGAAGAAAUGUCAAACCUUGAUUCAGUUUUCCUUUCCACACUAUAUACAUAUGGGUAAAGGGAUAAUAGAAUAGUGACUUAGUCACAUCAUAUAUAUACACAUAUAUAUUAUAUAUGCAUAUAUAUAUUGGGCCUGUUUAUAUAUAUAA
This is a long non-coding RNA of Monodelphis domestica (gray short-tailed opossum), 1298 nucleotides long. RefSeq lists it as uncharacterized. The record is from RefSeq and is a predicted model, not a curated record. Lineage: Eukaryota; Metazoa; Chordata; Mammalia; Didelphimorphia; Didelphidae.